This 508-nucleotide ribosomal RNA is filed under the name uncultured bacterium. RNAcentral's name for it is "partial 16S ribosomal RNA". The stretch from base 20 to 332 matches the Rfam family "Bacterial small subunit ribosomal RNA", at positions 47 to 358 of the family's 1533-position model. The record is from RNAcentral.
GACGAACGCUGGCGGCGUGCUUAACACAUGCAAGUCGAACGGAAAGGCCCUGCUUUUGUGGGGUGCUCGAGUGGCGAACGGGUGAGUAACACGUGAGUAACCUGCCCUUGACUUUGGGAUAACUUCAGGAAACUGGGGCUAAUACCGGAUAGGAGCUCCUGCUGCAUGGUGGGGGUUGGAAAGUUUCGGCGGUUGGGGAUGGACUCGCGGCUUAUCAGCUUGUUGGUGGGGUAGUGGCUUACCAAGGCUUUGACGGGUAGCCGGCCUGAGAGGGUGACCGGCCGCCUGUGUGCGGCUAGCCGGCCGAGGCUGGUGAGGGGGGCGGCGGGGGGCUUGCUUGUACAAGGCGCGCGAGGCUGGACCAGUGGCGGCGAUCGGGGUAUGGGGGCCUGCGGUGUGUACCGCUGGUGCGCGUGUGAUGAAGCGGGGGGGAGAGUAAGGGAUAAAGACGCAAGGACCAACUACCCCCAGGAGGCCGCGGAAAUCAUCGCACUCCCCGCGUCUGCCC